This 1631-nucleotide ribosomal RNA is filed under the name Salmonella enterica. RNAcentral describes it as "partial 23S ribosomal RNA". The record is from RNAcentral. Lineage: Bacteria; Pseudomonadati; Pseudomonadota; Gammaproteobacteria; Enterobacterales; Enterobacteriaceae.
AGCGGGUGAAAAGCCCGCUCGCCGGAAGACCAAGGGUUCCUGUCCAACGUUAAUCGGGGCAGGGUGAGUCGACCCCUAAGGCGAGGCCGAAAGGCGUAGUCGAUGGGAAACGGGUUAAUAUUCCCGUACUUGGUGUUACUGCGAAGGGGGGACGGAGAAGGCUAUGUUGGCCGGGCGACGGUUGUCCCGGUUUAAGCGUGUAGGUGUGUGUUCCAGGUAAAUCCGGUUCACUUUAACACUGAGGCGUGACGACGAGGCACUACGGUGCUGAAGCAACAAAUGCCCUGCUUCCAGGAAAAGCCUCUAAGCAUCAGGUAACAUCAAAUCGUACCCCAAACCGACACAGGUGGUCAGGUAGAGAAUACCAAGGCGCUUGAGAGAACUCGGGUGAAGGAACUAGGCAAAAUGGUGCCGUAACUUCGGGAGAAGGCACGCUGACACGUAGGUGAAGUGAUUUACUCACGGAGCUGAAGUCAGUCGAAGAUACCAGCUGGCUGCAACUGUUUAUUAAAAACACAGCACUGUGCAAACACGAAAGUGGACGUAUACGGUGUGACGCCUGCCCGGUGCCGGAAGGUUAAUUGAUGGGGUCAGCGCAAGCGAAGCUCCUGAUCGAAGCCCCGGUAAACGGCGGCCGUAACUAUAACGGUCCUAAGGUAGCGAAAUUCCUUGUCGGGUAAGUUCCGACCUGCACGAAUGGCGUAAUGAUGGCCAGGCUGUCUCCACCCGAGACUCAGUGAAAUUGAACUCGCUGUGAAGAUGCAGUGUACCCGCGGCAAGACGGAAAGACCCCGUGAACCUUUACUAUAGCUUGACACUGAACAUUGAGCCUUGAUGUGUAGGAUAGGUGGGAGGCUUUGAAGUGUGGACGCCAGUCUGCAUGGAGCCGACCUUGAAAUACCACCCUUUAAUGUUUGAUGUUCUAACGUGGACCCGURAUCCGGGUUGCGGACAGUGUCUGGUGGGUAGUUUGACUGGGGCGGUCUCCUCCUAAAGAGUAACGGAGGAGCACGAAGGUUGGCUAAUCCUGGUCGGACAUCAGGAGGUUAGUGCAAUGGCAUAAGCCAGCUUGACUGCGAGCGUGACGGCGCGAGCAGGUGCGAAAGCAGGUCAUAGUGAUCCGGUGGUUCUGAAUGGAAGGGCCAUCGCUCAACGGAUAAAAGGUACUCCGGGGAUAACAGGCUGAUACCGCCCAAGAGUUCAUAUCGACGGCGGUGUUUGGCACCUCGAUGUCGGCUCAUCACAUCCUGGGGCUGAAGUAGGUCCCAAGGGUAUGGCUGUUCGCCAUUUAAAGUGGUACGCGAGCUGGGUUUAGAACGUCGUGAGACAGUUCGGUCCCUAUCUGCCGUGGGCGCUGGAGAACUGAGGGGGGCUGCUCCUAGUACGAGAGGACCGGAGUGGACGCAUCACUGGUGUUCGGGUUGUCAUGCCAAUGGCACUGCCCGGUAGCUAAAUGCGGAAGAGAUAAGUGCUGAAAGCAUCUAAGCACGAAACUUGCCCCGAGAUGAGUUCUCCCUGAGACUUAGAGUCUCCUGAAGGAACGUUGAAGACGACGACGUUGAUAGGCCGGGUGUGUAAGCGCAGCGAUGCGUUGAGCUAACCGGUACUAAUGAACCGUGAGGCUUAACCUU